UUUAUUCAGAAAAGAAGCACAUGUGAAAAUUUCUUAAUUGUUCACAAAGCUCUCCUACUUUCAUAUGUAAAGGAAGUAUGAAAAUGUAAUAAUAGUAAGUUGGAGCCUAAUAAAUUGUGAUUGUUGAGAGAAAAACAUAAAAACAGGCUUACUCAAGCAUUUAUACCUGCAGUCUCUUCUCAAUUUCUUUACUUCAAGUAACAGCUUAGAUCUCUGAACUAUUAGUACUGCACUCUCCACCUCCUACCUCUGAGAUGCCAUGCAAACCAUAGAGAGGUAGCAGGUGGCCCCAGUUUGUGCCUCUAGCCACAAGCCAGGAGGCUGUGAUAGCCUGCUGCUGACUCCUCCUGGGCUCUGAACACCUUGAGUGAAACACCUGAUUUAGGCAGGAGCAGGAUACCUGGAUUGAGGACCUCAAUGAGAUCCUCUUAUUGCAUAUUGUACUUGAAUGGACUCUCAUUGCCAAAGUUUUGAUUAAGUAAAUGUCGUAACUGGAAAUUAAAUUAU
Molecule: long non-coding RNA, 507 nt
Filed under: Homo sapiens (human)
Lineage: Eukaryota; Metazoa; Chordata; Mammalia; Primates; Hominidae
Description: HSALNT0354080
Source: RNAcentral